RNAcentral lists this ribosomal RNA (253 nucleotides) under uncultured bacterium. Its description in RNAcentral is "partial 16S ribosomal RNA". It matches the Rfam family "Bacterial small subunit ribosomal RNA", at positions 524 to 776 of the family's 1533-position model. The record is from RNAcentral.
UACGUAGGGUGCGAGCGUUGUCCGGAAUUAUUGGGCGUAAAGGGCUCGUAGGCGGUCUGUCACGUCGGGAGUGAAAACACGGGGCUUAACCCCGUGCCUGCUUCCGAUACGGGCAGACUAGAGGUAUGCAGGGGAGAACGGAAUUCCUGGUGUAGCGGUGAAAUGCGCAGAUAUCAGGAGGAACGCCGGUGGCGAAGGCGGUUCUCUGGGCAGUAACUGACGCUGAGGAGCGAAAGCGUGGGGAGCGAACAGG